CCUGAUGACUUGCAUUUUCUCCCAGACAGCUGCCAUUUUGGUCUUCCAGCCAUUCUCAAGACUAGAAGUGUACAGCUUUGCGCAAGGGCAACUUCUCUGCAUGGCAGAGGUGAGGGGAAAUGAAAAUGAUGCUGGGACUAAGUGUCGCCUCUCUGAGAAGUGUCGCAGUCGCAGUCAUGUGGCAUGUCUGUUACAUUUCCCAGAAUGGUUCCCAGCGCUGGAGCUAAUUCCUUUUCGGAGAACCUACAUUUCUCACCUGCUGAUUGCAAUUAGCCACUGCCAGCUGGGGCCUGGUAUGCAGCGGAAAAGCUAACAAGAAGUAGAGACCGCGCGGAACCCAGACAGGGCAGAGGAUGUGCAUAAGUUUUGUUGAAACUGUCAACAGGGCAAGAGGUGAAUGCAGCAAAUCGUAAGGAGAAGACCUGAAUGAGGCAAGUGGCCACUCACCUUGUACCUGGGUCCCAAAUCCCCAGAGGCUCCAGGCUCAGCAACAGAUGCUCACAAUGAUGGCAACUGCUGAAGUUGAUGGGUAAUGAUUUUGCGGCAUCGUCUCCACUGACUCGGGCCCUCCUCCACCCUGGCUGCUGCCGAAGACCCCAGGAAGCAUGGCCCUGACCUCUGUUUAGUCUCCAUUCAGGAGCAGCCGGCCACCAUGUUGUAAGGCAACCCUGUGCCUGAGGCCAGCCAGCAGCCCUAAGAGUGGGCUUAGGAGCAGAUCCUGCCCCCACCGAGCCUGGAAAUGGGACUGCAACCCCAGUGAUACCUGGACUGAAGCCUCGUGAGGGACACCGAGCCAGAGAACCCAGCUAAGCCGCGUCCAAAUUCCUGACCUUCAGAGAUGAACCUAGCUGCCGUGCUGGGAGAAGCCCAGACCAUCUGGAAGAGGCCACAUGGAGGAGAACGGAAGCUCUGGACCCCAGCCCUGGCGGAGCUCCGCAGCCGGCCGCCGUCAGCACCAACGUGGCAGCCACGUGAGGGAGCCAUCUUGAAAGUGGACCUUCCAGCCCCAGCCGAGCCACCCCAGUUGACACCCCAUGAGGUGGAGGGUUUGGGCCUGAGGUGUGUGAUGAUCCCAUCUGCGCUCUUGUAUCUCACGAGGCCGAUGAAGCCGCACCUUCAGGACUGCUCACUUGCGUGGACCUCUUUUUUGUACAUUUGCGAAAGUACAAGUGCGGCGUGUGCUUGGACAACCCUCGGGCCCUCUACAUAUAAGCGAUUUAUAGCCGGGUCUGAAUGGAUUGGAAUCAGAUGGCAAAACCCAGAUUAACCCCCUGGAUCCUGGUGGCCAUUGGUCAGUCUUUGCUGUUAAUGAUACUUUCACCCGAGUGAAUGCAUUAAAGACGUUCCUUUUAAGAUAAAUAUGCAGCUCGGUCCCUGAUGUCUGCCUGUCGCAAAAACGUGUGAUGGGAGACCAAAUGUCAAUAAAAUCUCCCUGCCCGCCUCAACCCGGUACAUAAUCAGCUCGAAGGUAAAUAAAUGCAAAGGAAUGCAAAGCCAGAGACGUUAGCGUACUCGCCAGAGCCACACCAGUAAUAAGAGGCAGAGCCAGAGUUGCAACCCAGUCAGCUGCGGCGUCUACCUCUCCCCAGCCUCCCAGCCUGGGAAAUUCAAGAAAUCGAAUGCAUCAUCUCUGAGGGGAAAAGGAGAUAAAGGUCCAGAACCCAUCCAAACGCUUCGUUCGGACCAGAUCUUUUCCAAAGGGAACGCACCAGAUGAUGGGCAUGAAAGGCCCUUAGAAAUGAGAUCAAUCUCGGCCUCUCUCUGAGGACAGCACUCAGGACCAGAGACUGGAGCCGGCUUGUUCAAGGUCACUCGGCGAGCUAAUGGAAGACCCGGGGCCACAGGUCAGAGGUCAUGGUUCACUGCACUAUUUUAUUCUGCACAUACACACAAAAAUGAUUUGGGGAAAUUCUUUAGCAAAGGCAGAAGAGUGAAAGCUGGCAAAUUUUGGAUGGAAAUUUAAGACAGAGCAUGAGUCAGAUCUCUUUAAAGUAUCACUCAGUGUUUUUGCUGUGACAGUACAUAAAAAUAACACUAGCUAACUAGUUUAGUGAAGGCUUGCCACCAGCCAGACACUGCCUUAAACACUUGACACACUUUUUUGCAUUUAAAUCUCCAAACGAUGCUCUGAGAAAGGAAUCCAUUUCACAGAUGAGGAAACUGAGACUUAGGGAAAGGAACUUUCCCAAAGGUACCCGGAUAGGGCAAUUUUGACAGCGGCUGGAGCAUAACAACACUCUGAAAUUCACAGCCAUUCUCGUCAUAUGUCCCUUAGAUUUCUGAUGCUGAGAUUGAGCCUCGUAUUCAGUCUAUGCGGGCACCAUCUGCAGCUGUAGAGGCCUUGUUCUAAACAUCUCACGUCAGCCCUGCCAAAGUGCAGCUUUGCAAGUGAGCCCCCAGAAACCCAUUCAUUCAUUUAUCCAUUCAAUAAUUUUUUUUCUUUUUAGGGCUGCACCCGCUGCAUUCGACCCCUAGUUCCUGGGCUAGGGGUCGAAUUGGAGCUGGAGCUGCCGGCUUAUACCACAGCCACAGCAACAUGAGACCUGAGCUGGUGACCUACACCUCAGCUCACAGCAACACCAGAUCCUUAACCCACUGAGUGAGGCCACGGAUGGAACCAGCAUCCUCAGGGAUACUAGUCAGGUUCUUAACCCACUGAGCCACAAUGGGAACCCUAUUCAAUAAUUUUUAUUUAUGGCCAGAAGCAGUCCAGACACUGAGGGAAACAUGAAGAAAUGUAAAACACAACUCGUCUCUCAAGUAAUUCCCAGUCUAUCUAGGGAUCAAUGCCCCUAAGUCCAGCAUGAAGAUCUGGGAGAUAGGAGAGAUUUAAAACAUCCUGGCCCAACUUCCUACCCAAGGCAAGAAGCCCCCCUACCCUAUUCCCACCAGAUCCAGCUUCUGCUGAAAUAAGUCUGGAGACAGAGGAUUUAGGGCUCAACCAUGCAGGAAGCCAGAUCUUUCCAGUUCUAAUUGUGAGAAAGACAAAAACAACAACAACAACAAAACCUCUCUCUGAUUUUAAGCUGAAAUUCAGCUUCUGGUAACGUUUGCCCUCCUGGCACGUUCACAGGCCGCUGUCCCAUCUUCCCUGAGUCAUUUGUGUGCCCUAAAUGGUUCCUCAGGCAAGUCCUCACCAUCCAUCUCCAGGUGCCAAUUCCUUCCCACAAGGCUCCCUUCGUGGAAGGUGUAUAGGGGGCGUCACAAGACACGAUAUUGAUUAAUUUGCUAAAUCUGUGCUUUCUGGGGUGUUCCGUAGAACACUAGUUCCACAGAGCUUAAGUAAGUACGUGCUCCAGCAAAAUAAACGCCCAUCCAUUAUUCCAUCCGAGAAAUCUCGGCAAAGCCAACCAGGUUCCAUUACUGAAACUUACCACCUCCAAGGUUAUGAGAGACUCGUGUAAGCCUGCAAAAGCGGAUACGGAAUGCUGUGAUGUCCCCCAGUCUUUUCAUGCCAGACUGGACUCUGCUCACGGAGCAUUUCCCAGAGACACUGUUCCUCAGAGAACUUUUGGGAGAAACGUAAGUUAAAAACAAACAAACAAACAAAAGUAAUCCAGACAGUGAGCCCAUAAGCACUAAAGACCAUUCUGAAGCUGGAUGGCGGGGCGGAAGCCAUCUUUUCCUGCCGCCCCCACUUGGCACUCAACAGAUCUGUGCCCAUGGCCUUGACUUCCGAUGGCCAGCACUGCAUGUCUGCCUGAGAGCUUUGCAGCUACUGGAGACGGUACCCACGAUGGCAACGGGCUGGAAUUCCUAGAAAUCCAGCGGCCCUCCUCCCCCAGAGCAGCUGUCAACCCAGACGGACAGGCGGGCUCCUCCACCCUUGGUGGAGAUGACUCAAGGGCAUGGUUCCGCUGGAGGUUCCUUUCCAUCCCGCCUCAUUUCCUCGCGCCUCUGCUGCUUUUUCCUGCCAUCUCCUUCCACAGAAACGAUUGGCACUCCAGUCCCGUCCGGGCUCUGCUUUUGGUGGAAUGGGACUGGGCCAUCAUCUUCUUCUGCACCAGAUGCACGCGCCUCACAAAUCUCGCCCUGCCUCGGUCUCCCCACGUGUUUUUCUAGGGCUUGGGGACUCAGUCUGGCCAGGAUGGAAGAGGACUCCAGACAGGGAAACAUGGGAAAGGGGGGGCAGCUCUCGGGCACAUAAAUCACUGUGCAGCCGAGAGCUCUGCUGCUCCCAAGCCUGCAAGGUAAUUCCCAGGGCUGCGAAUAACUUGGCAAGCAACCCGCAAGUCAGGGCGGGACGCGGGGCCAAGCUUCUGGGUCGCUUGUCUCCAUUUUUUACUGUGGGUGUAACCUUGAUCCCUCUGCAGAGGUAAACAACGGGGUCUGAAUUAUUUGGUUUGGAAAAGGAAGAGGCCCCAGGGAGGUACGCGCCGCAGUAAUAAAUGCGGAGGAGAAACAGCUGUGCGCCGCUCGCCCGCCGCCCUCCCUCAGCGCCACCCCGGGCCGUCUCUGAAGGCGGAAAGGCAUCGCUCUCCCCGUCCCAAGUAUGGGCCGGCGUUGCCGAAGCCACAAAUCACCAAGAAAAGUGCAGAAGAAAGUUCGCCAUUUCUUGGAAUGGAGAUCAUAAUAAAUAAUAAUAAUCUGUUCCGUGUAUUUAGCCAAGGCAUUUUCUCCAAGGAGCUUUGUGCUCAAAUUUAUUGUACGUCCCCGGGGUCUGGAUAUGUUUUAAUUAAACCGUUUAUUGGGAAAAACAUACAAAGAAAACGGGAAAAAAAAUUAACCCCAGAAGUGAGUUAUGUGGCGGUGAUCACCAUCCUGGGUUUCUUCCGCAUUUUCUUUUCAUUCUUUUGUGCGGUAGAUGGUUACAGCAGGACCAGUCCUGCUGUGUCAGCUGUCCAUCGCAUAAAAAAAUAAGCCUAAGUACAUGGACCAGAUGCCCUGGAAGAGGGAGGGGAAAGGCGUGGAGAUACCUUGACCAUUUCCUAAGUGCCAGACACAUCAGGCACACAUUAUAUUCUUUUCUUUUCUUUUUUUUCUUUUUGUCUUUUUGUCUUUCCUGGGAACCUCCAUAUGCUUCAGGUACGGCCCUAAAAAGCAAAAAUAAAAUAAAAUAAAAUGAAAUUUUAAAACAUUCAAAACAAUGGUGUAUGUGGGUUUACAGCCACCUCCCUCCAUAGUACAAGUCCAGGAAGUGUAGAAGAUGACACGACAGCCCCUGAGAAAAGGGAGGCAGGGAGGCAGCAAGAGAUGGGGUUUGCGCUGUACAGUGGACCCUUGAACAACACAGGGCUGGGGCGCUGACCCUUCUCACAUUUGAAAAUCCGAGUAUAAUGUAUAGUCAGCCCUCCAGAUCCAUGGCUCGACAUCAGCGGAUUCAACCAACAUGGAUGGUAUAGUACUAGAGUGUUUACCAGUGACAAAAAUCCACAUACAGGUGGACACACGCAGUUUGAAUCCAUGUUGUUCAAGAGUCAGCUGUGUUGGGGAAUGUGUAUUUUUUUUUUUUAAUAUGUGAAAGAGAAACAAGGGCAGUGUGGCAAAAUCUUAUUUGUCUAACCUCAGUGGCAGGUUCAUGGAUGUUUCAUAUUACUUCCCAUACUUUUCUGUGUUUAGAACUUUUGUUAUUUUAAAUGCUAUUUUAAUAAUUUGUUUAAAGUUCACCCCAAAUUGAAUAUUGACAUUCCCUGGGAACCAGCCAUUCUAUUCUCAAGUCUGUACACAGUGGAAUGCAUCCACGUGCUCACCAAGACAUGCACGAAGAACAUUCAUCACAGCAUGAGUUUUACAUCCCCACGCGGAAAACACCCCCAAUGCAUUGGUCAUGGUCUGCUUUAUUUUUUCCUCCAGUUUUAGUGAGGUAUAUGUGAUGAAUAAAAUUGUUUAUAUUUCAAGCGUACAACAUGGCAAUUGGAUAUACAUAGACUUUGUGAAAUGAUUACCCCAAUCAGGUUAAUUAACACAGUUAUCUCUUUUGUGUGUGUGAUGAGAACGCUUAAAAGCCACUGUCUUAACAAAUUUCCAGUAUACAAUUCAGUAUUUUCUUGCCUAAUUGAUCUGACUAGGAUUUUCAGUACUAUAUUGAAGAGAAGUGACAAGAGUGGGCUUCCUUGUCUUGUUCCUGAUCUUAGAAGCAAAGCUUUCACCUUUUCAUCAUGGAGGAUGGUGUUAGCUGUGGGCUUGUCAUGUAUGCCCUUUCAUUAGGUUGAGGUACAUUCCUUCUAUACCUCAUUUAGUGUGAGUUUUUAUUCAUGACAAAGCAUUGGAUUUUGUCAAAUACUUUUUCUACAUCUAUUUAAAUGGUUAUAGGAUUUUUAUCGUUCAUUCUCUUAAUGUGGUGUAUCACAUUUAUUGAUUUGCAUAUGUUGAACCAUCCUUGCCUCCCAGGGAUAAAUCCCACUUGAUUAUGGUGUAUAAUUCUUUUAAAGUGCUGUUGAAUUUUGUUUGCUAAUACUUCGUUGAGAAUUUUUUGCAUUUAUAUUCAUCAGGGAUAUUUGGCCACGUAUUUACAAAUGUUCUAGUUUUUCUCUUGUAAUUGAUUUCUCAUUUCAUACCACUGUGGUCAAAAAAGACACUUGGUAUGAUUUCAAUUUUCUUAAAUUUGUUAAGACUUGUUUCAUGACCUAAGAUAUCCUGGAGAAGAUUCUGUGCGUGCUUGAGAACGAGGUGUUCUGCCGCUGUUGGAUGGAAUGUUCUGUACAUGACUGUUAGGUCUGUUUGGUCUAAAGCAUAGUUCAAAUUCAAUGUUUCCUUAUUGAUUUUCUGUCUGGAUGAUCUAUCCAUUGUUGGAAGUGUGGUAUUGAUGUCCUCUACUUUAAUUGUAUUGUUAUCUAUUUCUCCCUUCAGAUCUGUAUUUGCUUAAUAUAUUUAGGUCUUCUGAUUUUAGGUGCAUGUGUAUUUGCAAUUGUUAAGUCCUCUUGAUGAAAUAACCCCUUUAUUAUUAUAUGAUGACUUUUGUCUCUUGUUACUAUUUUUCAGGGGGGGGCGGUGCCUACAGCAGCCUGAUGUGAGAUCUUAGUUCCCAGACCAGGAAUUGGACCCAGGCCACAGUGGUGAAAGCACAGAGCCCUAACUACUAGGCCACUAGGCAACUCCCACUUGUUACUAUUUUUGAAGUGUUCUAUUUUGUUUGUUAUAAGUAUAGCAGCCCCUGCUCUCUUUUGAUUUCCAUUUGCCAGAAUAUCUUUUGCCAUCCCUUCGCUUUCAGCCUAUGUGUGUGUGCUCUUAAAGUUGAGUAAGUCUCUUGUAGGCAGCAAAUAGCUGGGUCUUUUUUUUUUUUUUUAAUCCAUCUAGCCACUCUCUCUUUUGACUGGAUAAAUUAGUCCAUUUCCAUUUGAAAUAAUUAUUGAUGGGUAAGGACUUCCUAACACCAUCUUCUUAAUUGGUUUCUGGUUGUUUUAUUGUCCCUUUGUUCCCUUCUUCUCCUCUUACUAUCUUCCUUUGUGCAUUGAUAACUUUCUGUAGAGGUAUGCUUUGAUGCCUUCUUUUUACUUUUUGUGCAUUUACUCUAGAUUUUUGCUUUGCAGUUACCAUGGGGAGUACCUAAAACAUCUUAGAGUUAUAAAAGUCUAUUAUAAGCUGAUAACUCCAAUUGCAUAUACAAAAACUCUGCCCUUUUACUCUCCCCCCACAUUUUGUGUUUUUGAUUUCACACUUUACAUCUUUUUAUAUGGCGUAUCCAAUGACAAAUUAUUGUAGCUACAGUUAAUUUUUAAUACUUCUGUCCUUUAACUUUUAUAGUUCAGUGAUUAUCACACCACCAUAUUACAAUAUUAAAGUACUCUGAAUUUGAUUACAUACUUAUUUUUACCAGUGUAUUUUUUAUGUUCGUGUGUUUUCAUGUUACUAAUUACCAUUCUUUCAUUUCAGCUUAUAUAACUCCUUUCAGCAUUUCUUCUAAGGCAGGUCUAGUGGUGAUGAACUCCCUCAGCUUUUGUUUGUCUAGAAAAUCUUGAUCGCCCCUUUCUUUCUGAAGAACAGCUUGGCUGGAUAAAGUUUUCUUGGUUGGCAGGGUUUUUUUU
Molecule: long non-coding RNA, 7964 nt
Filed under: Sus scrofa (pig)
Lineage: Eukaryota; Metazoa; Chordata; Mammalia; Artiodactyla; Suidae
Description: lncRNA (ENSSSCG00025072409.1)
Source: RNAcentral